This 73-nucleotide transfer RNA is filed under the name Exophiala xenobiotica. RNAcentral's name for it is "tRNA-Ile (TAT) (tRNA-Ile-TAT-1-1)". It matches the Rfam family "tRNA". Rfam says of the family: Transfer RNA (tRNA) molecules are approximately 80 nucleotides in length. Their secondary structure includes four short double-helical elements and three loops (D, anti-codon, and T loops). The record is from RNAcentral. Lineage: Eukaryota; Fungi; Ascomycota; Eurotiomycetes; Chaetothyriales; Herpotrichiellaceae.
GCCUGUGACGCAGUCGGUUUAGCGUGUCGUUCUUAUAAUGCGAAAGUCGCGAGUUCAAGUCUCGCCAGGAUCA